UACGGAGGAUCCAAGCGUUAUCCGGAUUUAUUGGGUUUAAAGGGUGCGUAGGCUGCUCGUUAAGUUAGAGGUGAAAUCCCGGUGCUCAACACCGGAACUGCCUCUGAUACUGGCGGGCUAGAGUAUAGUUGCUGUGGGCGGAAUGUGUGGUGUAGCGGUGAAAUGCUUAGAGAUCACACAGAACACCGAUUGCGAAGGCAGCUCACAAAGCUAUUACUGACGCUGAUGCACGAAAGCGUGGGGAGCAAAC
Molecule: ribosomal RNA, 250 nt
Filed under: uncultured bacterium
Lineage: Bacteria
Description: partial 16S ribosomal RNA
Rfam family: Bacterial small subunit ribosomal RNA
Source: RNAcentral